Molecule: ribosomal RNA, 253 nt
Filed under: uncultured prokaryote
Description: partial 16S ribosomal RNA
Rfam family: Bacterial small subunit ribosomal RNA
Source: RNAcentral
UACGGAGGAUGCAAGCGUUAUCCGGUAUUUUAUUUGGGUUUAAAGGGUGCGCAGGUUGUUUGAUAAGUCAGUGGUGAAAGUCUGUCGCUUAACGGUAGGAUUGCCAUUGAUACUGUUAGACUUGAAUAUGGAUGAGGUAGGCGGAAUGUGUAGUGUAGCGGUGAAAUGCAUAGAUAUUACACAGAACACCGAUUGCGAAGGCAGCUUACUAAUCCAUCAUUGACGCUGAGGCACGAAAGCGUGGGGGAUCAAA